RNAcentral lists this ribosomal RNA (253 nucleotides) under uncultured bacterium. Its description in RNAcentral is "partial 16S ribosomal RNA". It matches the Rfam family "Bacterial small subunit ribosomal RNA", at positions 524 to 776 of the family's 1533-position model. The record is from RNAcentral.
UACAGAGGGUGCGAGCGUUAAUCGGAAUUACUGGGCGUAAAGGGCGCGUAGGCGGCUAGGCAAGUCAGGUGUGAAAGCCCCGAGCUUAACUCGGGAAUUGCAUCUGAAACUGCUGUGCUUGAGUUCUGGAGGGGGUAGUGGAAUUCCCAGUGUAGCGGUGAAAUGCGUAGAUAUUGGGAGGAACACCUGCGGCGAAGGCGGCUACCUGGACAGAAACUGACGCUGAGGCGCGAAAGCUAGGGGAGCGAACGGG